UACGUAGGGUGCAAGCGUUAAUCGGAAUUACUGGGCGUAAAGCGUGCGCAGGCGGUUAUGUAAGACAGGUGUGAAAUCCCAGGGCUUAACCUUGGAACUGCAUUUGUGACUGCAUAGCUAGAGUACGGUAGAGGGGGAUGGAAUUCCGCGUGUAGCAGUGAAAUGCUUAGAGAUGACAUAGAACACCCAUUGCGAAGGCAGCUUACUACGCCUAUAUUGACGCUGAGGCACGAAAGCGUGGGGAUCAAACAGG
RNAcentral lists this ribosomal RNA (253 nucleotides) under uncultured bacterium. Its description in RNAcentral is "partial 16S ribosomal RNA". It matches the Rfam family "Bacterial small subunit ribosomal RNA", at positions 524 to 776 of the family's 1533-position model. The record is from RNAcentral.